This is a long non-coding RNA of Ananas comosus (pineapple), 2453 nucleotides long. RefSeq lists it as uncharacterized. The record is from RefSeq and is a predicted model, not a curated record. The transcript is spliced from 3 exons. Lineage: Eukaryota; Viridiplantae; Streptophyta; Magnoliopsida; Poales; Bromeliaceae.
CCCACGCAAUCUGAGCCUGCUUUUUCCAACUCUUCCUAACCAUUAUCCCUGCUCAACCUAUAUCUUAGGGUGGCUUUUAGGUUUUUUAAUCCAUGGUCUGAAUUACCAAAAAAUCCAAAAUUGGAACAAAGCUUUGCUUGCUGUUGUGAUACUGCAAUUUUUUCUUAGUAUUGGCUUCUAGCUGCGUGGACAUGCAAAGACAUAUGAAUAAGAUUUAGGAUUGUCUGAUUUACACAGAAAAGAUUUAGAUUGUCUAAUUUAUAGAAAACAGGCUUUGGGUGAUCAUUGUACUAGCCUCGGCCUAUAUCUUGAGAUGAACCAAAUCUUCUAUUUUGCUUCUAUUUCCUUUUGCAGCCAUGUGGAUGGAAAAAAUGAAAAAACAAAAAAGAGUUUUGGACAGUCUACUUUCUAGGCAACCACCUCUUGGUGUUCACAGUUCCUUGCUCAACCUAUAUCUUAAGGUUUCAUAGAAAUAAUAUCUGAGCCUCACUACAUUUUAUAUGUUUUCCUAUUUUUUUAUUGUUGCCUGUGUUCUUAUUUUAAAUUCAGCUAAUGCUUCUCUGGCCUAUGAAUGCAAAUAAGGAUUCUAAAUCCUGAAUUUAAGUUACAGAAUUCAAUACCUAGCUGAAUGGUUUCUACGGUGUGCAUGUGGACUUUUAUGCAUUUAGCAUUACUAACCAAGUAGUCUGAUUCUGAAUUUUUUACUUGAGUUCUGAAUAGGAUACCUGAAUUCUGACUUAACUAAGUGAAUGCUACAUUCGAAAUUGAGAAUUUGGAAUUUAGGAGUGCAUGGAACUAUUUGCUGUCCAUAACAGUUUCGGAUUCAGAGAUCUUUGAAUAGCAACAAGUGUUUUGGUCCAUAGAUGUUUCUCUGCCCUCAGACCAGGUUCGAAUCCAUAUGAUGGAGCCUGUGUUUUGGUCCAUAUGAUGUUUCUUUAUUAGCUGAAGACCAUAUAGAUUAUCGAUUACCUAGAUCGUUCUGAGUUCUAGAAUCUGUUACCUUAAGUAGUGAAUAUGAAUUCUAAACAAAGUAUAUUUGUUUUCCUUAUAUUCUGCGUGAAAUUCGAAAUUGCAUUGUUGAAUUAUGGACUCCCAUGCUAUGAUGACCUACUCCUCAAAUACCAAAUGGUUGCUGAAUUAUGGAUUCCCAUACUUUCGGUAUACAAGUGGGUCUUUAUGCAGUUGACAUUACUAACCAAGCAGGCUUUGGUUCCAAAGUGAUAAUAUUUGAUAACUGGGAGAGUCUGAGCAAACCAUAUAUCUUUUUCGUAUACCUAAAUUCUGACUUAUCUACGUGAAUACUAAAUUCGGAAUUGAGAAAUUAGAAUUUAGAGUUGCGUCGGGCUAUUUUUUGUGUAUGAAAGUUUUGAAUUCAAAAAUCUGAUUUGAAUCACAACAAGUCUUUUGAUCCAUAUGAAAGGUUCGAAUUCAAAAUGUUGAAUUCUGGCAGCAGUGUUCCAGAAUUCUAAAUUCUGGAUACUCAAAGGUUAGAAUUACACAAAAAAAAUAUUAAAAAUUAGAAUUUCAGCCAUAGAAUUCCAAAUUCUGAACUGUGCCUUGCAGGAUUCAGAAUACAAACCUUAAAAGGUUAACGGUUAAAAGAGUAAAUCGUUUGCAACUUGACUAUUUAUCUAGGUCUCCAAUACAGGUAUUUUUUCUCAUCGUUUUGUUUUCACCCUGCUUGCUUCUCAUUUUUUUUUGUUUUUUACACUAUAUCCAGCCCUUUGUUUGCAAAAUUGCUGCACAAAGAUGUGAUCCUUUGUUCACUCUUUAUUUGCAGCAUGGCUAUUUAUCUAUAUCUCUUUAUUUGCAACUUUACUAUUUAUCUAUGUCUAAAAUACAAGUAUUGUUUCUCAUCUUUUUGUUUUUACCUACUUAUCAUCUUUUUGUUUUUUGCACUACUUACACGUACACUUAAGAGGUUGUAUUUUGGAAUUGCCUUGCGAAUUGCAGGGCCCUAUAUGUACCUGAUAUUCAAAAAUUUAGAUCAAGCAUACCAUCCUUUAAAGUUGGCAAGAUGUUUUCCCAAUUUCUAAAUAACAAAGGCAAGUCCCCUGUGGCGAAACGUCUGCUUAUCAAAUGUGAAGAACAUCCUCAUUCCCCUUGAUACGAGCAACCAAAUUUGUAAAUAAUUAUUUAUAGAAGCAUCCCCAAGUACACAGGCGUCAACUGGCUCUGAACAAUUUACCGAGGACUUAUCUGAAAUGCAACCUGCCGAAAGACAACGACUUGAUCCAACCUAUCUUGCAUUUGAUGAAGCUUCUCAAGAAGAUCAAGUCAAGAAAUGAAGAAUUGCAGUUUACGUUUCAGUCCAUUUAUAUAUUUCUAUUUAUAAUUAGAUGCUUUGUUAUCCACUGUUUUAACUAUUUUAAUAACAGUUCUACUUACAUUUUCUUUGUUCUAUUGUUUGUUUUGUAAGGACUAAAUUAUUAUAUCAGUUCUACUUAGAUUUA